RNAcentral lists this long non-coding RNA (4344 nucleotides) under Prunus dulcis (almond). RNAcentral describes it as "sRNA ncRNA". The record is from RNAcentral. Lineage: Eukaryota; Viridiplantae; Streptophyta; Magnoliopsida; Rosales; Rosaceae.
AAGCCUUCUCAUUAUCACAACCCAAAGCCAUGGCCAUUCUGGGUUGCCAAAAAGACAUGCACCUCUUUUCAUACUUGGGGAUUCAGUCUUUGAGGCUGGAAAUAAUAACUACUUUAACACUACAGCCCGGGCAAAUUAUAAGCCAUAUGGUGAAACCUACUUUAAGUACCCAACUGGGAGAUUUUCUGAUGGUCGUCAAGUUCCAGAUUUUAUUGGUAAGAUAUGAAUCUUUUUAUUUUUUAAAUUUAUAUUUUUAUAAAGAUAUAUAAAUAUAUAUAUAUGAAAUAUGACUAGACAUUACUUUAUAUUGUUGCAGCUCAGUAUGCAAAGUUGCCACUGAUUCCACCAUAUCUACAGCCCGAUUUGCAUGAUCUUUCAUAUGGUGUCAACUUUGCAUCUGCAGGAUCUGGUGCUUUGGAUGGAACUCGCCAAGGCUCGGUAUGUGACAUAUUUGUUUCUGCAGGAUCUGGUUACGACUAUUGACAUAAUGUGAUUCACUAAUGUAGUACUAACCAACUUCUUGAAAACUAUAUGAUCUCCUGUUCAUAUGGAAAUGGUUACUUACUAUUUUUCAUAUAAAAUACAUCAACUACUUCUCUUUGAGAUGGAAAUCAUCGCUUUGAACCUUGUUUCAGGUGAUAAGCCUUAAAACUCAACUGUCAAAUUUCAAGAUCGUCAGGAAGUCGUUGAGGAAAAAACUAGGCGAUGAAAAAGCCAAAUCUCUGCUAUCAAGAGCUGUUUACUUUUUUAAUACUGGAAGCAACGAUUACCUUUUCGCAUUCGACACAGACCCAACUGUGCUCGGAUCCUACUCUCAACAGGAAUAUGUAGACCUGGUGAUAGGCAACAUGACUGCAGUGGUCGAAGUAAUGAAAUCUUAGCACUUCAAAAAAAAAUGAAAAGAAAAUCCUUUUAUGCAUAUUACUAAUAAACAUUAUUAAUUUCGAUGUCUUCUUUUAGGGAAUCUAUAAAAGAGGAGGAAGAAAUUUUGCUCUGCUUGACCUCUGGCCUAUGGCUUGUCUUCCAUACGGAAGAGGAACACUUCAAAAAAAAGGUGCUUGCUUUGAUACGAUUACACCAUAUGUGACGCUACACAACAAAGGACUUGCCAAUGCCCUACAAAAGCUGGAGAAGAAACUCAAGGGAUUCAGAUACUCAUUCAUCAGUGCUAAUGAGUUUUUGACAAAAAGAAUGAACAACCCUUCUAAAUAUGGUAUUAAUUCCUUCGUUAUACAUGGUUUUGAUGUCAUUAAUUAUGUUAAUUACAAUUUAUUUAAGCGACCAUGUUUUUGUUUUGUGAUAAAAUUUUUGGAAAAUUGUAAGGUUUCGUGGAAGGAAAGGUGGCAUGCUGUGGAAGUGGUCCAUAUGGAGGAAUUUUUAACUGUGGAGGAAUGAAGAUUUCAAAAAAGUAUAAUUUAUGCAAGAAUGUUAGUGAAUAUGUCUUCUUUGAUUCUUCUCAUCCAACCGAGAGGGUCUAUGAACAGUUUGCCAAGAAAAUAUGGAGUGGAAAUUCCAUCACUGCGCCUUACAAUCUGAAAGCACUAUUUGAAAAUUAGCUAAGUAAGGGGAUGAUCCGAUAGUCAGUAUGCAAAUAAUUUGUACUUUUUGAAAGAGAGGCAACAAUUCAUAUGUGAAGCUUUGUCUCAAAAUAAGAUGCAGCCUUUGUAUUGAAUAUUAUAAUUGUGUGGUGGUGGAAGGAGAGCCAACAAAUAAACAUUAUUUCAUAUGGUAACGUUUUGUUAACUUUGUCUCAAAAGGUGCAGAGCCUUAUGGAUGGGCCUGUCAUCUGUGUCUUUGCUACAUAUAUCUAGCUGGGCACCAUGCUUUUGGUUUUGGAGAGAUUCUGGGGAUAGUAAAUUAUUAUCCCUAGCUAAUAAUGCAAUAAUAGGUGGAAUAAUUUUUUCACUUCCUGCUAUAAAUUUUUUUUUCCAUGCGUAUCAAGUGCACCUCAACUCUAUGCAAUAACGCAGAAUUUAACACAAAUAAUUAUCUAAACUACUCUAAAUUAAUUUGAGAGAUUCGAACUUUAAGUGCAAAAUGGUUGGCUCACUGCACUGGCCACUGGCAUUACCCCACGAGACCACAUCUGCUAAAUAUAUCUUCAAUUUUUAAAGAAUGAAGGACAUAAGCUAAAUACAAACACAUAGAAUGCAAUGAAAAAGAAAAGUUCUUUGAAUCAAAUCUGAAUAAUUGUAAUCAAUCCCAAAAUAGCAUUAAUUAGUCAUUACACUUCCCACAUCAAAUCCAAUCGAGAUCUUUUGACAGAGGUGGAGGAUUCUUUUUGAUGGAAGCAACAAGCUUGAAAGUAUAGGAUUUUAAUUCCAUAGUUUAUUAGCCUUUUUAAAUUUUUUUUUUUUUUUUUUUGGUUCUCUCAACAACGUGGCUGUGGAUCUCAUCACAGUAUUUAAUUAGCCAUGUGUUCCAGCAGGUCGUUAUUGCAAACCUGAUUAAUUAGUAUUUAUAUGGACUUAUCAUUUUGGACAUCAGAAGUUGUGAUGAUAAUGUAAACGGGAGAUAUAGUUGUUUACUUGUUUUGGGCGGCACAUUUUAUUUUAUGCACUGCCUUGAGAUGCCCCUAUAAAUAUCAACUGAAGCUGGAUGAGGUGAAGAUGCAUCUAAUCUAAUAGAUAGAAAUGGCAAAUAUCCAAGUCUUUGUCUUUGCCUUAUGUACAAGCCUUCUCAUUAUCACAACCCAAAGCCAUGGCCAUUCUGGGUUGCCAAAAACACAUGCACCCCUUUUCGUAUUUGGGGAUUCAGUCUUUGAGGUUGGAAAUAAUAACUACUUUAAUACUAGUUGGCAGGCAAAUUACUCGCCAUAUGGUGAAACCUUCUUUAAGUACCCAACUGGGAGAUUUUCUGAUGGUCGUCAAGUUCCAGAUUUUAUUGGUACGUAGAAAAUUUGAUAUGAGUGUUUUUUUUAUAUAAAUAUAUCUGAAAUAUUACUAGACAAUUUUAUUGUUGCAUUGCAGCUGAGUAUGCGAAGUUGCCAUUGAUUCCACCAUAUCUACAGCCCGACAAUCAUGAAUUUUCAUAUGGUAUCAACUUUGCAUCUGCUGGAGCUGGUGCUAUGGUUGAAACUCGCCAAGGUGCGGUAUGUAACGUGUUUUUGCAAGAAUCUGGGUGCAUCUUAAGUUAAAGUUGUCGAAAAGACAGGUUUUCUGAGUUUAAGAGAGUUGAGCGAUUCGAGUUUAAUAUUUAGGGUUCACGGUAUUGCUAAUUGACACAUAAGUCUACCGAGCACAUAAUGCGAUUUGCUAAUGUGUAGUACUGACUUCUUGAAAAUUAUGAUCUCCUGUCCAUAUGAAAAUGGUUACUUAUUAGGUUUACAUCAACUAUUUCUCUCUAUGAUGUAAAUAAUCACUUUGAACCAACCUUGUUUCAGGUGAUAGGCCUUCCUUCUCAACUGUCAAAUUUCAAGAUCGUUAGGAAGUCCUUGAGGAAGAAACUGGGCAAUGAAGAAGCCAAAUCUCUGCUAUCAAGAGCUGUUUACUUUUUUAGUAUUGGAAGCAACGAUUACAUUUUCCCGUUCGACACGGACCCAAGUGUGCUCGGAUCCUACUCUCAUCAGGAAUAUGUAGACCUGGUGAUAGGCAACAUAACUUCAGUGGUCAAAGUAAAUUCUUAGUCCUUGAAAAGAAAACCCACCACCCCCCCCCUCCCCCCAAAAAAAAAUCCUUUUUAUGCAUAUUAAUUACUAAUUAACAUUACUUUCGAUGUCUUGUGUUAGGGAAUCUAUAAGAAAGGAGGAAGAAAUUUUGCGUUGCUUAACCUCUGGCCUAUUGCUUGUCUUCCAUACGCAAGAGCACUUAAAACGGAAAAAAAAGGUGCUUGCUUUGAUGAGUUUACACCAUUUGUGAAACUACACAACAAAGCACUUGCCAAAGCCCUACAGAAGCUGGAGAAGAAACUCAAGGGAUUCAGAUACUCAAUCUCCGAUUUUAACGAAUUUUUGACACAGAGAAUGAACCACCCAUCUAAAUAUGGUAUUAAUUCCAUCUAUAUAUAUAUGCUUUGUUUUCUUAAUGAUCUUAUUCAUUAUACAUGGUUUUGAUAUCAUUAUACUAAAGCAACUUUGUUUUUGUUUUGUGAUAAAUUGUUGGAAAAUUGUAAGGUUUCGUGGAAGGGGAGGCGGCAUGCUGUGGAAGUGGUGUAUAUGGAGGAAUUUAUAACUGUGGAGGAAAGAGGAUUGCCAAAGAGUAUAAUUUAUGCAAGAAUGUUAGUGAAUAUGUCUUCUAUGACUCUGCUCAUCCAACCGACAGGGUCUACGAACAGUUUGCCAAGCAAAUAUGGAGUGGAAAUUCCAUCACCACGCCUUACAAUCUGAAAGCACUAUUUGAAACUUAG